Aethalodelphis obliquidens (Pacific white-sided dolphin) is the source of this 2618-nucleotide long non-coding RNA. RefSeq lists it as uncharacterized. The record is from RefSeq and is a predicted model, not a curated record. Lineage: Eukaryota; Metazoa; Chordata; Mammalia; Artiodactyla; Delphinidae. The transcript has 2 exons.
GCGGACUCCCAACCACUGCACCACCAGGGAAGCCCUAGUCCUUUCUUUCUCCUUGAGAACAUCACACCUGAUCCCACCCCUCUCACCCCACCCUCUUCUCCACUGGACCAGAUCUUUAGAGAAAAGGCUGGCCCCCUCUCCUCCAAGACCAUUCUCCCUUAAAUAACUUCCCUCUCUUGUUUUUUCAGUGGUUCCCCUACUCCUCCGUCUUGGUUCCUACUCCGUGGCUUAGAAACAGCUUUAAAUCCCUCUUAACUUAAAAACAAACACAAAACAAAACAACUGCCCCUCUGUUUGUGCAGUUAUGCUAUAUAAAAACAACAACAACAACAACAAAAACCCUUGACAUUUUGAUGGCUUAUAGCAGAGAUCAACAAACUUUUUCCUUAAAGGGACAGGUAGUAAAUAUUUUAAGCUUUGUGGACCACAUAUAGUUUUCUGUUCCUAUUCACUUUGUUUUUCUUUACAACUCCUAAAAAAUGUAAAAGCCAUUCUUAGCUUGCAGACAGUACAAAAAGAGGCUGCAGGCUGGAUUUGCUUUUGAGAAACAAGUGUUUACUUUUCACUCAUGUCUCUGAGGCAGAAUAUAUCUGUCCCUCCCCCCCACGGGGAGGGGGUGUGGGUGUGGCCAUGUGCUGGCCUGGCCAAUGGAAUGUUAGCAAAGUGUGGCCUGAGGAGAACAUACCUUGAGUACCUGCUGGUCUAAGAAAGAUGAGAGACAUGUGGAGCAGACCUGGACCCAGAUCCCAGCUUGGAACCAUGCCAGCUUACAUUAGCCAAACCUCAGCCAACCUGUGAUGGGCAGUGUGGAUGACUGACUAUUUAAGUGUGAACAAGCUGGGGAAUUUGGUAGUUGUAGUUAUUUCUGUUUUGCUGGUGAAAAUCUUAGACUAGUGUUCCUGAAAGUGUGAUCAGGGACCACCUGCAAAGUGUGAUCAGAACACCUGGGAUACUUGCCACUCCCUCUUGGAGAGGUGGAGUCUAUUUCUUCACUUCCUUGAAUCCGGGCUGGCCUAUCACUGCUUUGACAAGAAGAAGAUCGUGGAAGUUAUGCUGUGCUAGUUAGUUCCAGGCCUGGCCUUUAAGAAGACUGGCAAUUUCUGCUUCUUUUCUCUUAGAACCCAGCAGACAUGCUGUGAGGAAGUCCAAGAAGCCACAUGGAAAGUCCAAAUGGAGGCCAAUUCAGGCUCCAGGACCAUCGUCCCAGCUGAGUUUCUGCCAAUGGUACCCACUUGCUAGGUAUGUGGUGAGCCAUCUUGGCAGUAGACCCUUCAGCCCGAUUGGUCCACCUCAGCUGACAGUACUUGGAGUCGAUAGGCGCUGCCUCGCAGAGUUGUGUCCAGGUGCAAUGCUGUGAGCAGAUCAAUGACAGUCGUGGCAUUCAUGCGUCAGCUUUGCUCUCAAAACAAUCCUAUAAAGCAGAUAUUAUUAGUAUUACCCCCACUCUGUGGAUGAGGGGCAGAGAUGAAAGAGAUAGGCAAAUUAUCCAAGAUUACACAGCUAGUAAGUGGAGAAGGCAUGAGAACACAGACUGUGUCCUGGGGUUGGUGCAUAUACCAAUUGGAGUCAGGUAUAUUAAUUAGGAAGUUGUGUGAUAUAAAACAGGAAGAUGGAUGGGUUGGGACUGAGUAAAGGAGGAACCCACAUGCCAAGAUAAAAAGUUAGCACUUCAUUUAAUAAUGGCCCUUUAAAAGUGGUCAUUGAAGGCUUUUGAGUAGAAGUGACAGGAUAAAAAGAACUUACAUAAGUGAUUGACAUUGGGUGGUUUGAAGGCACAAGGGGCCAUAAGCAGAUGGGUCAGCAGAGGGAUAGAAUUGUUCAGGAGGGAAGUGAUGGGGAUGCUGCCUAGGGUGGCAGCAGUGGGAAUGGAAAGACACAUGCCAAGACUUGAAAGGAAAACCAGUGUUACGAUCCAAUGACCAACGGUUCCAAAAAUUUGCAUCUGAGCGUCCCAAAGGAGAAUGGUUUAGGUGAUACCACUAAAGAAUUGGUAAUGCAGAAGGAGAGAAGUAUGUCUUAUGCACUCAGAAAGUUGUUAGUAGAAAUGGAUCAGAAUUGAGGAUGACAAAUUGAGUUUUAGCUUUGCUGAAACCGAAGAGCUGGCAAAGAAUGAAGAUGUGGAAAUCAUGGCCUCUGCCCUCAAACAAUUUAUAAUCCUGAGCUCUCUCUCUCUCUUACAUAUAUAUACACAACCACACAUUCAUACAUGAUACACAUUCAUACACGUACACCAGAUGGCAAGUAGAAGUAGUGCAUAAUAAAUAAUAAUAAAAAGAAAGAACUGCCAAAACGUUGGGUACUGAGAAUAAAUGCUAUGAGCGAUCAGGAAAGGGGAGAUCGAUGGCCCUGUGGCAUCCAAAGGGGUUACCAGUAGAACCAGAGGUGGGAUCUUCCUGUGAGACUCACUCAAAGACCAACAUCCCAGGGUGUAGAGGGACCGUGGGAAAGAAAGAUUAUCACGGCCAGUACACAUUGUUUGAAAACGUGAUUUUUAAUGACCAUCAAGUAUUCCAUCUCAUGAGUAACCACAAUUUAUUAAACUAUCGCUGUAAUACUGUACCUUGAUGAGGUUGAUAAUCUUGGCGAUUUUUUUAAAAAACAUUAAAAAAAUUAAUUAA